Falco peregrinus (peregrine falcon) is the source of this 602-nucleotide long non-coding RNA. RefSeq lists it as uncharacterized. NCBI's taxonomy places the organism in Eukaryota, Metazoa, Chordata, Aves, Falconiformes, Falconidae. The record is from RefSeq and is a predicted model, not a curated record. The transcript is spliced from 2 exons.
UUAAAUUGCCACCCUCAAGCACUGGUGGUGGAUGGACUGACAGCUUAUUUGUGAAUCAGGGAAUGUUUUGAAGCACCUUGGUAAGUAAUAUUAGCAAGUAUUUGCUAAGACUGGUGACAGUCACUGCAUUAGCAAAGUUCAUUUUAAAACUAGAAAUUCAAUAUACUAUUUGACCUGAGUCAAUCAGUGUAAGCGAUUUAAUAAAUAACCCGCUGGAGGAGAUAGUAAUUUAAAAGAAACUUGUUCUCAGGGGUAGAAAGAAGGGCUACAAGACUUCUUUCUAUCCAUGUUUUUCAGUCUCUGUAUUAACCUUCAGCAAAUGUUUCUCCACACUGCAGCUUACCCGUCUUCACUCGGGCUGUACUGACGUGCUGCUGCCCAACAAAGGUGUCGAAAUGAAAAUUAGUGGCUGCAAAAGUCUCACUGAUCUUCAGAUAAGAGUAUAUUUAAUCCAAAUGCAGCCAAGGAUUCAGCAGAACUGAAGAAUAAAACAAGAUUUUUAGGGAGCAUCUCCCUCACAAUGAAAGCUCUUCCAUGGGCAAGAAAUGUUUAAGCUUUGUGAGCCAGCCUCUGCCCCUCCAAUAAAUAUGGAUAAGAGCUCA